ACUGGGCCAAAAUUAAAUGCAAAAUGUAGAAAAAACACAGAACAAUUUAACUUAACCUACAUGAUGACGUGUGAGAGUAAUCCAUCUCGAGUUUGAAAAACUGCUUCUUUUAUUUCACAAUCCUGAAUUGAGACGGGAGCGACGAAGUACAGAUAAAAUACACUUUUUAGAUAUAGACCUCACCAUAAGGAAUGAGCAACUAACAACGAGCAUAUAUAGAAAACCAUCAUAUCAACCAGUCCUCAUCCCAGAAUGGUCCAACAAUCCUCCAUCGUUCAAAGCUUUGGCUUUUAACUUCUUCUUUAAAUGGGCAUACAUGUACAUCAUGGACCCACGAGAACUACAAAGAGAGCUGGACUAUACCUUCCAAGUAGGGCGCACAUGGAUAUAUGAACCAAUUUAUAAACAGAAGCCACCAUAAGAUGAAGAAGGUCGUACACAAAUGUAAUACAACGGAAGCAAGAAACAAUUGCGAUGAUGAUUAUUUGCCAGUCCCGUAUGGUACCACCAGAUUAAGAUCAGUUAAAAGUAUAGUAUGCAAAGCUAAGAAGAAAUUGGCCAUAAAAAGAGCCCCAACAGUGUUUAACAUCCUCAGGAAUGAUAAAGAACCCCAUGGCCAAUUAGAAAGGUUAGGCGUAUACGAAAUACU
This 649-nucleotide long non-coding RNA is filed under the name Androctonus crassicauda. Lineage: Eukaryota; Metazoa; Arthropoda; Arachnida; Scorpiones; Buthidae. The record is from RNAcentral.